Molecule: ribosomal RNA, 253 nt
Filed under: uncultured bacterium
Lineage: Bacteria
Description: partial 16S ribosomal RNA
Rfam family: Bacterial small subunit ribosomal RNA
Source: RNAcentral
UACGAAGGGGGCUAGCGUUGCUCGGAAUCAUUGGGCGUAAAGCGCACGUAGGCGGUUUGUUAAGUCAGGGGUGAAAUCCUGGAGCUCAACUCCAGAACUGCCUUUGAUACUGGCGAUCUCGAGUUCGGGAGAGGUGAGUGGAACUGCGAGUGUAGAGGUGAAAUUCGUAGAUAUUCGCAAGAACACCAGUGGCGAAGGCGGCUCACUGGCCCGAUACUGACGCUGAGGUGCGAAAGCGUGGGGAGCAAACAGG